This 567-nucleotide ribosomal RNA is filed under the name uncultured bacterium. Its description in RNAcentral is "partial 16S ribosomal RNA". It matches the Rfam family "Bacterial small subunit ribosomal RNA", at positions 355 to 914 of the family's 1533-position model. The record is from RNAcentral.
UGGGGAAUUUUGGACAAUGGGCGAAAGCCUGAUCCAGCAAUGCCGCGUGUGUGAAGAAGGCCUUCGGGUUGUAAAGCACUUUUGUCCGGAAAGAAAUCCUUGGCUCUAAUACAGCCGGGGGAUGACGGUACCGGAAGAAUAAGCACCGGCUAACUACGUGCCAGCAGCCGCGGUAAUACGUAGGGUGCAAGCGUUAAUCGGAAUUACUGGGCGUAAAGCGUGCGCAGGCGGUUUGCUAAGACCGAUGUGAAAUCCCCGGGCUCAACCUGGGAACUGCAUUGGUGACUGGCAGGCUAGAGUAUGGCAGAGGGGGGUAGAAUUCCACGUGUAGCAGUGAAAUGCGUAGAGAUGUGGAGGAAUACCGAUGGCGAAGGCAGCCCCCUGGGCCAAAUACUGACGCUCAUGCACGAAAGCGUGGGGAGCAAACAGGAUUAGAUACCCUGGUAGUCCACGCCCUAAACGAUGUCAACUAGUUGUUGGGGAUUCAUUUCCUUAGUAACGUAGCUAACGCGUGAAGUUGACCGCCUGGGGAGUACGGUCGCAAGAUUAAAACUUAAAUGAAUUGAC